Drosophila biarmipes is the source of this 584-nucleotide long non-coding RNA. RefSeq lists it as uncharacterized. The transcript has 3 exons. Lineage: Eukaryota; Metazoa; Arthropoda; Insecta; Diptera; Drosophilidae. The record is from RefSeq and is a predicted model, not a curated record.
CUUACGUCCGUAUAAACGCUGAUAUAAUAGGUAUUAUUAAAGUUGGCAUUGAAAUCGAACAUGUGUAUUCUGCAGAUUUUUGAGCAGCGCAGAUGUAUCUACCGGUACGCCGAAAGAUGUUAAAAUCGGAUCAUAAGCUAAAGUUGUACCUCGGAGUCUGCGGCAAAUUUACGAAAGUUUUUUCGGGGCCUUACGAUGCCGAUGAUAAAUGAGAACUGUCGGAGAACUCAACGAUUUUGACUGACAAAGAAGUCGACGAAGAAGCGGAUAAACUUCCAUAGUUUUGUUUAUGCCAACAAUCGCUGCAAACAAAAGGCGAUGGGUGGACAUGGAAAUUAAAAUUAACUAAAAUGGCAAUCACUUGGCUGCGCAGGAAUACAAUGAUUUUGGCCUAUUGUUUAGCCGAUUGAGAAACCACUAGAAGAGUCUGGUAUAGGAAAGAGGUCUCUAGAAUGUGACACUUGUUCCGUUCGUCCUGCCAAUUUUGUCAUUUAUUUAUGAAACUUACCGAGCUUCCAUCCUCCAGAAAGCUUGAAGUUUCAUCUUAAAUAUGAACUUAAAAAGAAAACCAAAUAUAAGAUCUG